UAAGAAAGUCAAGCUUCUAGAGUUCUUUCUUUUCAUAGUUUCCCUUAUCUCUGAUACUCUGCCCUGAAGAUUCUAGCUACAUCAGCAGCCCAGAAUGCAGCUCUUUCCUUUUUCAUUUUGUUCUGUUUUAAACCAACUCCCCUGGUUGGAAAACAACGAUAGGUGGAAAUCCAGCAUCAUUUUGGAGCUCAUCUCAUACAUUUCCCUUAUUUCAAAGGCACAAUAUUCUGGCCAAAAAGCCACUUCCUGUCCUGAAAAACAAAUCCAGAAGUUAUUUUUCCGACUCUUCCAUUCUGGUAUUUCUUCAAUAUAAUACUACAGCACCCUUUAAAAUGCUCCUUUCUCCAGUUCUGGCAGAGAGCGAGGUGAGAAAAGCAGCGAGGCCAUCUCUCCCGGGGCCCUCCAGGCUCUCUGGCCUUGGGGCUGGCGGGUGAACUGGGGGGCCCGGGGACAGGUCGCUGUCUCUGACCUGCAGAGACCCAGUGUCGUCGCCGCGGCUGUCCACUGGCUGGGCCCAGGCCUUGAAGCAGCCACUAAGCUCUCCCCACUGGCCGAGGGCCCGAGAAGGCGGGUCUCCGUGGACGCGAGCUUGGCCACCCUUGGGCCUUGGAGCGCCACAGAUGCGGGCGGUGGGAUGACCGCUCGGUCCCAGUUGGACGGGACCUCACCUCCGGACAAUGGACAGAGGCUCUAACGGGCCCGGAAGGUGAGCGAAGCCCCAGUCCACUCUGGGUGUACCGGUUAACGGGCCCUAAGGCGGUUGGUCUUCGUUCGACCAGAUGCUGACAAUGGAAGAUAGAAAUGGAAGAAUUACGCACCGCAUUUGACCAAUAGGAAGACCACCCUUUGGGAAGAUUUUCCUGGCCGUUGAUAGAAGGCCUGUGUAUAUAAUAUGAAAAAACUGCUCUCAACUUACCCCCAAACCUUUCAAAAGAAAACUUCUGCAAAGUCUGGGCUUUCUAGAUGUAAAGAGGUUGCCAACAUACGAUAGAGUUAGAAAAUCACACGUCUUGUGGAUGCCUGUUUGGUUUAUUUAAAAAUCAUAGAAAAGAAAUGUCUUUGGAAAUGACUUUUUUGAAAUGGAAUUGUUAGACCACCUCUAGAAGAGACAUCAGGAGUGACCACGUCCAUGUCUGUUCAGUGGGUAAGAGGACAUGAAGUAGAAGACCUUGAGGUAGAAAAGAAGGUUCUGUGCCACACUGGUCAUAUUUAGAAGACAUUUACAUGUUAUAACCAUUUUGUGUGUGUGUGCUUUUAUUCCUCAGCUACUGUAUAGUUAACAAUGCUAAGUACUUUUUUGAAAUCUCUAGUCU
RNAcentral lists this long non-coding RNA (1313 nucleotides) under Felis catus (domestic cat). RNAcentral describes it as "lncRNA (ENSFCAG00000053010.1)". Lineage: Eukaryota; Metazoa; Chordata; Mammalia; Carnivora; Felidae. The record is from RNAcentral.